RNAcentral lists this ribosomal RNA (489 nucleotides) under uncultured bacterium. RNAcentral describes it as "partial 16S ribosomal RNA". It matches the Rfam family "Bacterial small subunit ribosomal RNA", at positions 30 to 507 of the family's 1533-position model. The record is from RNAcentral.
AUUGAACGCUGGCGGCAGGCCUAACACAUGCAAGUCGAACGGUAACAGGAAGCAGCUUGCUGCUUCGCUGACGAGUGGCGGACGGGUGAGUAAUGUCUGUGAAGCUGCCUGAUGGAGGGGGAUAACUACUGGAAACGGUAGCUAAUACCGCAUAAUGUCGCAAGACCAAAGAGGGGACCUUCGGGCCUCUUGUCAUCGGAUGUGCCCAGAUGGGAUUAGCUUGUUGGUGGGGUAACGGCUCACCAAGGCGACGAUCCCUAGCUGGUCUGAGAGGAUGACCAGCCACACUGGAACUGAGACACGGUCCAGACUCCUACGGGAGGCAGCAGUGGGGAAUAUUGCACAAUGGGCGAAAGCCUGAUGCAGCCAUGCCGCGUGUAUGAAGAAGGCCUUCGGGUUGUAAAGUACUUUCAGCGGGGAGGAAGGGAGUAAAGUUAAUACCUUUGCUCAUUGACGGUACCCGCAGAAGAAGCACCGGCUAACUCCGUG